Molecule: ribosomal RNA, 253 nt
Filed under: uncultured bacterium
Lineage: Bacteria
Description: partial 16S ribosomal RNA
Rfam family: Bacterial small subunit ribosomal RNA
Source: RNAcentral
UACGGAGGGUGCGAGCGUUGUUCGGAAUCAUUGGGCGUAAAGGGCGUGCAGGCGGUUGGGUAAGUCUGAUGUGACAGCCCGGGGCUCAACCCCGGAAGUGCAUUGGAGACUGUCCGACUUGAGUACCGGAGAGGAUGGGGGAAUUCCCGGUGUAGAGGUGAAAUUCGUAGAGAUCGGGAGGAAUACCAGUGGCGAAGGCGCCCAUCUGGACGGAUACUGACGCUGAGACGCGAAAGCGUGGGGAGCAAACAGG